UAUCAAGCUACUAAGGGCUUACGGUGGAUGCCUUGGUGCCAGGAGUCGACGAAGGGCGUGACAGGCUGCGAUAAGCUUCGGGGAGUCGCUUAAUAGACUUUGAUCCGGAGAUUCCCGAAUCGGGCAACCGAGCAGGUUAAUCCCUGCUACUCGUGUUUACACG
RNAcentral lists this ribosomal RNA (163 nucleotides) under Candidatus Poribacteria bacterium. RNAcentral's name for it is "partial 23S ribosomal RNA". It matches the Rfam family "Bacterial large subunit ribosomal RNA", at positions 1 to 175 of the family's 2925-position model. Lineage: Bacteria; Candidatus Poribacteria. The record is from RNAcentral.